CCCAGUAGCUUUGUCGAAGCCACAUCACCCAGUGAAGCAGGGUUGAGCCUGGUCAGUACCUGGAUGGGAGACCUCCUUCGAAAACUAGGUUGCUGCUGGAA
Molecule: ribosomal RNA, 101 nt
Filed under: Sinocyclocheilus rhinocerous
Lineage: Eukaryota; Metazoa; Chordata; Actinopteri; Cypriniformes; Cyprinidae
Source: RNAcentral